RNAcentral lists this transfer RNA (65 nucleotides) under Liriomyza sativae (vegetable leafminer). Its description in RNAcentral is "tRNA-Tyr". The record is from RNAcentral. Lineage: Eukaryota; Metazoa; Arthropoda; Insecta; Diptera; Agromyzidae.
GAUUAAAUGGCUGAUAAUAGGCGGUAAACUGUAAAUUUAUUUAUGGGAGAUUUUCCCUUUAAUCA